RNAcentral lists this transfer RNA (71 nucleotides) under Phrynosoma platyrhinos (Desert horned lizard). RNAcentral's name for it is "tRNA-OTHER". The record is from RNAcentral. Lineage: Eukaryota; Metazoa; Chordata; Lepidosauria; Squamata; Phrynosomatidae.
GCCAGCAUAGUGUAGUGGUUUGUGCUCUGGACUAUGACUCUGGAGACCAGGGUCCAAAUCCCAGCUUGGCC